UUUUGCAGAAUGUUAACGCUCUAUGGGCAGAGCAUGCGCACCAGAGACAGAGCCGGAUAACUUCCGGUUUAUCCCUAUGCUAACUUAAAAUAAUUAAAUCGUAUGGCUCUUCUAGACUUUCCACAUGUUAUUGGGCUGAAUGGAUCAAAUUCUGAGUCAUUUGCAGAGUUGUGACGCUCAAACCAGUUUAUCCAGGAGGCUACGACGGAGCCUAUGACGUAAGCACAAGUUUAACGAACUUGGUUGUGACUGAGCCCACUCCCAGAACACGCACACAGCACGCUCUCAAGCACCCCCGAAUGAGAGGGCCAGUAAAGAGACAGACAGGGCUGGACGGCCGGUAAAAACUUUCUGGAUUUUAUGUGGCCAGUACACCACUGGGCCAGUCUCAAAGAUGGUUAAAUGACUGAAUGAUUUAUAGCCCUUCCAACAUGGCAGCCCAGUUUACAAUGCCUUUAAAAACUCCAGUGACAGUGUCCUUACUCAGCUUUUCAGAGCGAAAUGUUCUUGGUAUGAACAGUAAAACCAGUCUGGCUUGCAUGAUCACUUGGGAACAUCUGGUAUGUGUUUUGAUUAAAACAAGGCACCAGCAAUCCAGGGCGGUGUUCCCUCAUGUAUUCAUUACUCAUUCAUACAGCUGAAUUUUUUUAUUUUUGAAUAAACAGGUGCUUUUUUUCACUUUUUUUCUUAUUUUCAUGUGCUGAGAAGUAGCACUGUAUACAGUGCAUGUGUUCAGAGGUGACUAAUGUACUGAGUCACAAGCCUGGAGCUCUAAUUGAAACAAUUCCAGGAAGAAUAAUGUGUGGCGUAUGGAGUCAGGUCGACGCGACCAGGUGGAAUAUUAUCCAGGCCAGCCACAGUUUAUUGCUUCUCUAUGGUGACAGCACAUGUGCUAAUCACAAAAACAUGCAGGAGUGGCAGCCUGUGAAGGCCUGAGAUGAUCUGCUAAAGCAACGUUUAGAGACUCAAUUCACUCGAGGUUUUAGUGAAAAAGUUGGAGAGGGUCAUUAUCGUAAUGAUCCACUGAUUUAGACCAUUUUGCUCACGUCCUGCAGUCUUGAGUGUGCCUCUGGAUGGGUUACCAUUAGAUCGGUGUGAUUAUUUUGGCCUUUAUUCAACCUCUCUCUUCGGUGUUAAGUUUUGAAAUGUUUCUUCACUGCUGCUCCUAGACAUCACUUCAAUCAAAACAAUGCGGUCAGUAUUGUGACGUCUUUUUUCUGCGGGUUUUCUGUUAGUGAGUGUUGUGUGGGUGGGGCUGCUACCUUGUCUGUUUAGCACUGUUAUCACCCCCAAUAAAGUCAACAUGCAACCUCCUACUGUUGUGAUGUGUGCAAAACCAGAUAUGGUCUACAGUGUUUGGUAUGUACCACGUCUGUAAUGGUACUUUACAUGAAAUUAUAUAAUAUUAUAUUCAUUAGGGAGACGCCUUUGUCCACAGCAACUUAUGAACAACAUUCAAACUCAAAAGGAAGAGUUAGAUGUCACCAUGCUUAGGUUUUGCCAGGGAGCCAGUGUAGUGAAAGGAGAAGAGGAGUGGUGUGGGAGACAUUUGGGAGGUAGUAGUCUAACUGAAGGGAACACCAGCUUUGUCUUGUCCAGGUUGAGCAUUAGGUGGCGCCUUAACAUCCACUCCAAGAUAAGUGCCAGGCAAGCAGUGGUGCAUGCCUCCACCUGAGUGUCAGCCUGGUAGUGAUGCUAGAAGCCAUGUGAGUGUAUGACAGCACCAAGGCUAUCUCAGUUAAGUGUCUUGAGACUGUCACCUUCUCCCGCCUACUCAACUUUCAUAUACUAUCAAACAAACUCUCAGCGACUGAAAUGGAAGCAUUACAACCUUAAACAAUAUUAUGAACUAUACUGAGGCAAGACUCAAACUUUGAACUAUGAAAGUUGUAAAGGAACACUUCUUCAUCACCAACAUUUCCAACUUGUGCAACUUCUGAUGUAGGAGCAGAGCCCCCCACUGGCAGCACUGAAAUGAACCCCCUUCGAUUUGAGUAGGUCAUGUUUUUAUCACAUCACACCUGCUUGACAUUUAAAAUUUCUCCCAGCUGUUUGGUGUUGGAGUCACAAGCGUGUUUUGAUGUGUCAAGGACUUCUUCACAGCUAUUGUUAAGGCACUGAUGCCAUUAUUUUACUGUGGAUUGUAUUACUAACUAGAUGUAACAAAUUGAUUGGUCAUGCAAGCUUACCCCCAGGCUUUGGAAGUUUCCUAAUCACAUUAAAUCAAAUAAAAGCUUUUCUCUUACUAAGCUAAUUUCUCCAAAAUGUUCUUCUAGUUUUCUCUGUUUAAGAAGGCAAAAUGCAAUGUUCAGCUACUCAGACAAACCUUUUGCAGGAUACGCUGCAACUUCUCAUUCAGCAUCUUCUCAUUUGUAUUUAUUUCGUAUCCAACAUGUCGUUUUGAGCUCAGUAGAUCUGUUGACUUAUGCAGACUUUAAACUUCAUUUUCAUUUACAAUUUAAUAAUAAAUUAAAGUCAUUAUGACGGUAAAAGGAGGAACAUUUUCAGUUGAUCAUUAGUCCCACCCCCACCUCUCCGGCGCCACAGCUCUGAAUGGCAGACAUUACAGGCCUGAAAACUAAUUCAUGAGAAUCCUUGGGGGGGAAAAAUCAUGUCCUGUGAUGGUGGCUGCUGGUUUUCGCCACGUGAAACUAAGCUCUGAAGUGUGUGUGAUGUUUCAUUGGCCCGCACAUGCUGCCCAGCAACAGACAAGGCGACUAACUGAAUCACGGUGAAGACCAUCUGGGGAACCGAAUGUGUCAUGCUGUGCCAAGCUGCAGAAAAAUAACUCAUCAUCACGCUGCCCUCAGAGGAAGACAGAAGGCAGAGGAAAGCAGCGGCAGCCCGGCCAUCAAGGUUCACAAUGCCUCAUUAUUAUGUUGACAACCUGGGACGGGCGAAUCACCACCUGCCCUUGCAUUGUCUACAUGCUGGGGUUCGGUCGGCACAGCUGUCUGGCACACUGUCUGUUUUUGUGUCAAAGUCGAAUCCAAUUUAUUUGGCUUUGCAGUUGCAUCCUAAAUCUCCCAGCAUUCAAAACUAGGUCCAGCAGAGUCAGGGUGGAGCACACUUGCAUCUGAUUGGUUGGCAGGUGUCAUUUAAAAGUGUUUAGCAGGACACCUCACACAUAUUUCCAGUUAACAGUUUAAUCCGCCUAUAUUAGACUGCAUGUAACCAAAGCAACAAUACAAAUAAUUCUAGCUAAUAAACUUUGGAAAAGUUUCAAACAAGAUCUAGUGAGAAGAAAGGCCCAUUACUGCUACAGCUGAUGAGAAAAAUAUGAUGUAGUACACAGGUAUGAGUGGUAUUUCAAAUUAUGCAUUAAUCAGUAAUUGCAUCAGUGCUGUAUGUAUAGGAAAUAUAUUUAUUUGAAAUGUACAUUUUCAACAGUCUACAAACAAUCUUCAGGAUGUAAUCAAGUAAUUAAUUUCUGACAGAGAAUGAGGCAUGCUUUGGGAAGUUAACCUGUCGUCAAUUUGAAAUGCUUUAUUUUGGCCAAAGGUUAAGGUGGCAACUGAUCUCUUGAAAUUCCUCGUCUUAUGAUGUAAAUGUUUAAAGAAAAACGGCUCACAAAUAUAUAGUUUCAUUUUUUAAAAAGGGCUCAGUAAUUUCUCAAAACAGCUGGACACUGUAGUUUUUAACAGAUGUUACCCAAACAGCAGGAAAUAGUGCAUCUAUUGUGGACUAUUUUCUGCGGCGGAUUAAUCCACAGUUUGUGCUCUAGUCCUCCAACAGCAGGACAGUGUAUGUGGGAUUGUGUUGAAAUAAAUGACUGUGUGUGUGUUCAUAAUGAUAAUGACUGUGAUGUUGAGUCAAAGUCAUGCCUGCACAGUCAGAAACCUAGGAAAUGUUGACGAUGACAUGAGCAAUGUAUGGAAUUAACAAAGUAAAAUAUCACAAAGUCAUGGCUAUGAAAAGGUCAAAGUCCUUAAGAUGUCAGUGGAUGUCUGGCAGAGGGCACCACGAUGUCCAGAAACAGCCCAAAGAGUUGUCUUGAGGGAGUAAUGAUUAGUUUCAAUGACAUGAUCAGCGUCACGUGAUCUAAAUGCUGUUUCAGAGGCUUUUCUGUCAGGAAUACUUCUGGCAGAACAAUGUUGUCAUUUUGUAGAAUUUCUUUGGCAUGAAAAUGGUCAAACUGAACAUGGGAAGAAAAUAUCGUCCAUCAGCAGCUUCAGUCCACUCAUUACUGCUGGAAGCCAAGCACGAGUGUGCGUCUGUGUGCGCAGUGAAGGCGUGUGAUUCAGCCAGACAUGCCUGGCAUACCGGCUGUGUCUUUCUCGGCGUGACGGGAUAUUUUGUCAUCCUGCAGUCUGGACCUCAUUCUGUACUGCCUCAGAGUGAUGGAGUCUCGCUGCAGUCCAGAUUGACAUGACUCACAGCCCAGCAGGCAGCCUGUUCCCUGACCAGUUUGUCUGCUGCGGUGUCAUCUCCCACUGACUAACAGCACUUAGAGAGGAUGGGUGGUCAGAGAGAAUCACAGCACUGCGCUCAUCACCUGCUGCAGCCUCUGUAUACUCAGUUACAGUCGCUUAACAUGGGUGAGCAUAAAAAUAAUAAAAUCCUGCACGGUUGCAGUUAUUUCUCAUGACCUGUUUACUGUAGUAUUUUACAUUACUUUUAUCAAAAUAUGAGAUUAGUGCUUCUUGUGUUUCAAAUAUUUUAAAAUAUGAUUCAUAUUCAUUCCUGACGAGAGAGAGCCUUUUUGAAAUCAACCUUUACUUCCAUCUUACCGACAGCAGGUGGAUAUGUUAUGCAUGUAGCCAUCGGUUUAAAUCCAUUAUAUUUAACUUUGUCUCCUUUGUGUGUUCCUUCUGUGUAAUUAUAUACAGCGCUGUGAGGAGCAAAGCAGCAGAGGCUGUGCGCAGUGUGUUUAACUAUAAGACUUUUUAUGUCUUUGACCAUGUGGAAAUCUUUUGCUCUCACAUUGCAGAGUAUCCUGUUAGAUGCCAUUGACCGAACUGUUAAUCUUUAUUCUGUGUUUGUUUCCCCAUUAGCUUCCACAGAGUGACCGUUAGUCUUCCUGGAGUCCACACAAAAACAACAGUUUAAAUCCAACAGUAUCGCUAAAACAAGAAAAGGAAACACAAGCCAAACAUAAAGAUAGGAAAAUUAAUGAAAUAACUACAUAUGAACAGGUAGACAAUAGAAACUUACAAUGAAAACAAAAUAAAAACAAUCACAAAUGUUCCACAACAGUAGUAACUAAAAGUAACAUGUACGUGAGAGUCAUCACGUUUUGUUUUAGUGACUUUUGGAAAGAAAAUCUACUUUUGACGUGUCUGAUGUUGGUGGGUUUGAUGUUCCAGACAGAAGAAGCUCUACAAAGAACAGUUCUCAUCGUUUGUUCCUGGAAAUGAACCCACCAGCUGCCCCGUGUUCACUUGAUGUGUAUUAUACCUCACAAAAAACAGUACAUACUAGUUUUUCACAAAAGAAGUGUGGUGUAUUAUUCCAAAUGACAUUUUGCAUGAAUAACAGAAGACUAGAUUUUCAUUUAGCCAUGAUAAUCGUUUCUGCAUCUCACACAGAUUAACACAUGCAGGGAGAACAAUGAAGAACUAAUGUGGCUGCUCUGUUCUGUGCAAUCUGAAGUUUCUUUUAGAUUUAGUUUCUCAGCAGCACUUGACCAAAUGACUGGGCACUUCUGACAGAAGAGGUGUCUGAACAACGUCAGAAGAGGGAACGCAUGCAGAACAUUUCCCAUCAUGGAAACAGUGUGAUCAGUCUGAUCAGACCCAGACAGUAAAUUAUCUAUUCACUGUUAAUUUAAAUGAUAUGAAUAAACAUUAUUUAACAAUAUUAAGUUUGAUUGCAUUACUUAACCGAUCUCAGUAUAUUGUACUAUAAUGAAGGGAUCAUUGUUUUCACUAGCAUCUUGGAGUUGAACAGACCUAAAUGGAUACGUCUUUAGCCUGGACCACACACACUCAGCGCUGCAGCACUUUGCCAGCUUCCAAUUGGCUAAUUCACUCAACUUGUGUGGGCAUGAUCAGGGCUUGUUGAAUGACAAACAAACAAAACAACCGCCACGUUCUCUCCACCAUUUUUCACAUCGCCGGCCUGUGUCUCACUAAAGGAGCCUGCUCCUCAGCAGUGGACGAGUUAUCAAAAACAUUCAUUUUCUCUGUUUAGAAUUAUUUCACCGUCACUGGAGGAAUACGAACCAGUUGGGCCGCUGACUGUAUUCAUAUCGUGACAUUUGGAAGAAUUUUUUUGUUUUCUAUCCGGGCCUGAUGACCAUCUUGGAGAAGUGAGGUUUCACUUUUAGCCUACUUACUGUGACAAACAAAGAAAUCAGCUGCUCUGUCUGACGGAGGCUUCUGGUCAUUGUUGGGGAAAGUGCUGCUUCUUUAAGAGCUCUGAUACUGAUGAUGAGAUCGCCUUCAAAGACAUUCCUGUUGGAGUCUUCUGCCUUCAGGAAGAUGUAGUCCGAAACCUGCCUUCUCCCCACCUGAACCCAUCAGAAGCAGGGAACAUCUUGGGAGAGAAUCGAUCCAAUGUUUUGUCUGUAUAUGUCAACAAACAAUGUGUGUUAUUGUUGUCAUUUCAAAUACAAUUUUAAUAAAUGUUCUGCAUU
This is a long non-coding RNA of Siniperca chuatsi (mandarin fish), 6577 nucleotides long. RefSeq lists it as uncharacterized. Lineage: Eukaryota; Metazoa; Chordata; Actinopteri; Centrarchiformes; Sinipercidae. The transcript is spliced from 4 exons. The record is from RefSeq and is a predicted model, not a curated record.